AUCUUGAGACAAGAUCUCGCUCUGUCUGUUUGGCUAGAAUGCAGUGGCAUAAUCCCAGCUCGCUGCAACCUCAAUCUCCAGGGCUCAAGCGACCCUCCCACCUUGGACUCCCAAAGAGUGCUAAGAUUACAGGCAUGAGCCACUAUGCCCAGCUGGCAUUUAUUUUCUUAAAGAAAAAAAAAAUCUAAAUACUUGGGGGAAAUGGGAGUUGAGCAAAAGACUGACACUAACAGCAGAAUGAAUCAUUUUUAUAUCUUCUUUACCUUCUUUACUGGGAAAGGUGGCUGGCUCAGCAGGGAAGGAGUGUAUGAGGAGACUGUGUAAAAUGUGUCUUGUCGCGUUGUUGGUAAGCCGCUAAGCAAAUGUCUUUAACAUUAAUUUGAAAUUAGGUCUUGACAAAAUCUUGAGAAAUUAAAACAGGAAAAUAGAUAUUUGUACUCUAGGAUGAUAAUUAAAAUUGUAAUAUGAAGAGUAAAUUGAGGGGUCAUAUUGAAAGGGAAUAAUAGUAGAAGACAAAAAGAAAACAAGGAACCAAACAAAACUUCAGCUCCUCUAAUGGCAUGCACAGAACAUAGAAGUUUCUGAUGAAGGAACUGGCAAAAAAGACAGAAAAGGAACUGCUGGGGUAAAAUGGCAACAUGCUGGGAGAACACAGGUUUGCAGCUCUUGUGGGAGAAAUACUUUCAAGAAGAAAGAAGUAGUUAAUAAUGCAAAAUACUCAGGUGAGCACCAGGGAAUAAAGGAUGGAGAAAUAUUUUGAAUUUUUCAGGACAAUAUUUAGUGUGAGUAAAUUUAGAAGGCACAAAAACUGAACAGCUGAAAUGAUCUGUGAGAAGAUAGAUAUUGUCAUGGACUGAAGACCAAGGUUACAUGGAAAGAGAAAUGGACUGGAUAAUAGUUGAAAAGAUUAGACAGCAAACAUGUUUUUCUUUUAAGAAAAGAUAAGAAGAUUGAUUGAGGUCAAAGUGCAAUGAGUCAAGGAUAGUGACAACUGGAAGAACAGGAAGCAGUUUGGCGGUGGCGGAUAGGUGAGGCACAAGGACGUCAGCACUGGAUUCAGACAAACCGGCGUGUAUUGCGCGUGUACUUUGGGUGGCCCUGUGCUGCGUCAGCUGGAAGGGAUCCAGAGAAAAAGACAGAGCCCUCUUUGAAGACAUCCAGAGAGAGAUCUAGGAUGUUGGGAAGGAACAAAGAAAUUCAGGCAUCUCUCCUGAGAAGAGAAAGGGAGUAGAAUGCUCCAUCAUGAUGCUAACCACAAGAAUUGACUUGACGGGACAGAAUCAAGGGGAAGAACGUCAGUGAAACUUCUGGUGACAAUCACCCACUUAGGUCUUUAUUUUCCAUUUUUGCAUUUGUCAUACUUUUCAUAGUAAUGAAAACAAAUAUGUUGUGUAUAAUACUGGAUGUCAGCCUAUACAUUUGGUUUUUAAAUUUGGGGAAGGAAACUUCUUUCCACUCGAUUGAGCAGUUUCAUCUUUGCAAUGUAUUUAUUCUUUCUGAACUUUUGGGUAGUGUCCUCGUAUUAGUCUGUUUUCAUGCUGUUGAUAAAGACAUACCCAAGACUGGGUAAUUUAUACAGAAAAAGAGGUUUAAUGGGCUCACAGUUCCACAUGGCUGGGGAAGCCUCACAAUCAUGGCAGAAGGCAAAAGGUCUGUCUUGUGUGGCGGAAGGCAAAAGGCCCGUCUUAUGUGGUGGCAGAAAAGAGAGAAUGAGAGCCAAGUGAAAAGGGAAAUCCCUUAUAAAAUCAUCAGAUUUUGUGAGACUUAUUCACUACCACGAGAACAGUAUGGGGGAAACUGUCCCUGUAAUUCAAUUAUCUCCCACCAGGUCCCUCUCACAACACGUGGGAAUUAUGGGAACUUCAAUUCAAGAUUAUAUUUGAGUGGGGACACAGCCAAAUCAUAUCAGUCCUAGAAAAUUCUUCAGGACUGGCUCUUUUUACUUUUUGGCAAUUUAGCCCUCCUGGUCAUGAACGAGUUGUCAGAUUAGCUUCUCCUAAUUUCACACUAUGAUGGGGAGAAGGAAAUGCAGGUUUUCUGCUCUUAAAAGAUUCCACAUACUGUUUGGACCCUCCCGUGCAUAGUGGAGAGAAUAACUUUAUUCAUUCUGUGAUUAUCCAGUAGGAAGUCUUAUCAGACAGGAGGCCCUCUGGAGGGUCCUAGCAACACUGACCUAAACCUCAGAGCACUCGAGUGAACACCCAAAGUCCUCUGUGGAGAAAUGAUGUAGAGUCUUGAAUGGGAAUAUGUUGCUAAUGGGUCAUUAGUAAUUUGAGUGUCUUUUCAGCUGGCGUCAAAACAGGCCCUAUUCCUCAGUACCCGGUAUCAAGAGAAGACAACUUUCAGAAGCCCAUUGCCUAGACUUGGAGGAGGCUCUUAAUAUGUUUUUUUUCCACAUUUCAUAAAUUCUUAGGAUUUUUUAAAUUUAAUAUCCUUUAUGAACUAAGGUCAACAAAACUUUAAUCAGUGAAUAUAUUUUUGGUUCUGAGAGUUAGAACACUCCUCCCUUUUAAAACAAAAAAGUUUUUAGAAUUUUGUUGUUAAAUAUAUCUGGACAUAUGAAGAAAACUGAAGUUAUCAGCCUUUUCAAUUGAAUCCUGACACUGAAAUUGUCUUUUGAAACUUACUUUUGUGUAACUAUCCUGGCUCACUGGCACUCUGCUCUGGAAUUAAAUUUCCCUAAUUUCUGUCAACUUUUUGAAUCUGCAACAGUGGGAGCAUAUGAUAUGCUGUAUGAGUAACUGCACAAGUUAUUGUUAGAAAAAUUCCUACUGAUAAGCCCUAUGAGUUUUAUCUGUAACUGUGCAAGUAACCUAAGUAUCUUGUGGAAUUAGAGGCAAUAGUCUGUUUUACAAAGAGUAGGAGAGAGAGAGAAAGAGGUAGAGACAAAGACCAAGACCAGGAGAGGAAGAAGGAGAGAGACAGAAAGGGAGGCAGAGGGAAGAAAGGAAAGAAGAAAGAAAGAAAACAUUAGCAUAAUUUUCCAAGAAUAGGCAUCUCAGUGUCUUGCCUAGAAAUCAAGGUCUUCCUCUGCUCAGAAGCACAGAAACUGUCCAGGAGGGGAAGCUCUAAGUAACGAUAACAAUAGAAACUGAUUGGCUUGACAAUGAGAUAAGACCAGGUAUGUUCCCGGUGACCCACAGUGAAGGAAAAUUCAGUUUUUGCACAGUUUCACUGUGUGGAGAGAAUAUAGCACCAUUACAAAACUUCUUUUAAAGAAAAGACACUUUGGGAAUUGGCCUCAUCUGUUUUUUUGUAGGCAGUUCAGAUAGGAAUAAAGGAAAGAAGAAAACAUCUCCUUCCUUAUUCCCCAUCUGUUUAUCUCACUAUUUCUCAUCCUCCUUACAGACACUCAGCUGGAGGUUCACAGAUCCAGUUUCUUGUAGAUUGCUCCUCAAUGUUGUGGGUAAUUUUAGGCAAAAUAUGCAAAUUUCUUGUUUGGCAUAAGGUUUUUCUUUCUCCUGCUAAAACAAAAAUGUUUCCGCUACAAACCAUUUAAAUACUUCGUAGGGAUUUUGUCAGGAUUAAUGAGGCAACAGACAGUCACAGGUGAUUAUACUUAUUUCAAGAAUGCAUUAUUUUAGUAUGUCUAUUUGGCAUUACAUUGAUUUUUUUUCAGGUCAUUAGCUUAUUAAUUUCUACUAGACAGCAGAGCUGCUGUGUCUUGUUAUUUUUGGAGUUAAAAUGGUGUAAUAUUCUCAGAGAGCUAGACAUCAACUUAGUGAACUGGAACUGGAGAAUAAUUUAUUCUUUGCUACCAUAGAUGUUAAUUAUUUACCACAAGACAGAGCUGGGCAAGAAGAAAUCUCAGAACUUUAGUUUGGAUACAGACUUUGCUUUUUAUGGUCUGUUUCAAUCCCUUUAUUUUACAGAUAAGUAGAUUAAAACAAUUAUGAUUAAGUAUCUUCUCUUAUGUCACACAGUUGUUAUUGAUUGGUUUAUACUUAGGAGCUAGAGCAAGUGUUCCCAGGGAGUACAUUUUGUACUGAAUAUAGCUGUCUUUGUGAAGAGAAAAAUAACAAGAUUUGUAGGUACUGAAAGUUACCCAGAAAUCUCACAUUAGUCUAGGAAGAGGUAUGUAUUAUGAUGCUCAGGGUUACUGUGGCUUGAUAUAAUUAAACAGAUGUAUAUUCGUCUCCUAGAGUCUUCAAAAUAAUGAUAGUGGUGACGAUGACGAUGAUGAUAGUUAGCAGUUUUUAAAGGCUUACUCUGCAACAGGAAUUAUACCUAGAGGUUUAUACACAUUAUCUCAUUUAUUUCCUAAAAUGAUGCCAUGAGGUUGGAUCUAUUAUUUCUUCCAGUCUACAGAAGAAGAACCUGAAGCUUAGAGAUAUUUGGUAAAUUGUUGCAACUUCACUCUGUAAGUAAAUGUCAGAUCUGACCAAUAUGAUGCCACCCUAUGCCUUGUCACAGUAUUAUUCUGCUAUACGUUUGAGAAUCUGCCAAAUUUUCUUAGGCUCAUUAUCCACUACCACCAUAUUCUGACUUGUGGUGGAAUUAAUAAUAUUUCUAGAAGAAAUAUUUGCAAUAUUUAAGCAAAUUUUAGAAUUUUUAUACUAGAAAUAAGAUCUUGGACAUAAUGUAACUGUAUGUCUAGGUGGUGCUAAGUAACGAGACUUUCUGCACUGAGUUUUAGAAUGAAGAAUGGGAAGGAAAGCUCUUCCUAAAUAAAGCAGGAAACAUGGAUACCAGCUUACCAUUUGUAACCAGAGGUGUUUCUUAAUCUUUUUCAGAUCAGUUGUACAAAAGUUAAGACAGCAAUAAUGGUUUUUAUAGAAUGUUCUCAUGACGGUUAAAUAUUAAGAUGUAUGUGAAGUACAUAGCCCAGUACUAGAAAGAUCUGGCGUCUCUUCUGAUUAUUUAUUGCCUGUGCUGUACCAGUUAAUGUUUGGAAUAUCAGUACUGUAUUCAACAGAUAUCUAUUUGAUAUCUAGUAUGUGAUUGGGCCAGUAAUAGGCCCUAAGGGGACAGUACUAUUUUUAUCUUCAUGGUGCUCACUUUCUAGUUGAAGGAGGUAGAAAAAAUAAUUAUUGCGGGUAGUGAUAAGUGAAACAAAAAUAAUAAGACAGGAUUGGGGUAGAGUGACAUGAAUUGGGGAGAAGGAAGGAUUCCAUGAGAUCAGUUGUGAAAGGAGGCUUCUAAGAAAGCAACACUGGAGUUGAGAAGGGAAUAAGAAAGAGCCAACUACCUGGAGAUUGGUAGAAGGAUGAAAAGACAUGCACAAGAUUUGAAGAAGAGUUUAUGAAGAUGAAGGCUUCCAAUGAACUGAGAUUUCUACAUCAUGGGGAGGGUAAUAAAAAUGCUCUUUAAAAUAUGUUAAACAAGGUAUCUGUAUCUAUGUCUGCAUGAAAGUAGAGAGGAGACAGAAUAGCUGAUGCAACAGAUGACAGUGAAUAAUCGAGUAUCUACAGCUUCUACAAUGAUCAUCAACCAGGUUCUUUCUGCCCAACUGCAGCAAGUCAAUCACUGAGAUAAUGGAUUUUGCAAAAGAGAAGACUAUUCAUGAGGCAGCCAGUGAGGAGGUGAAGAACAGGUCUCAACUCCACCUCCCAGAAGAUAAGGCUUAGGGAUAUUUAUAGGUUAUAGAAGUGGGGUCAGCUAAGAUGUGGGAAAAGGUGAUUGUCAGUGGGGGAAAAAUGAAGCAAUCAGUGAUCUAUGCAAACAUAGUUGGGAUAUGUGGCAUUUCAUAGGACACAUUUGCAGAAAAUGAUGGUAUUAUGAUCUGAGGGUGGAAUUUUUGGUCCUCUGAUGUCAAAAUGCUCUCCGGCAUUUACAGAGGCCCAGCUGAAGAGUCAACCAGUUUGAACUGGUCAGGAGCUGUCCCACAUUCCUGAAAAAUAACUGAAGUGACCAUUACCAUGGUGAUUUAUAAAUGUUCAAUUUAUUAUGCCGCUAAUGAAGGUUAAGUUUCAGCGUUCAGUGGUGCAGCCUUCAAUUACUGUGGCUUUCAGCUUCAUGAAAAAAAAAAAAAAAAAAGAAAAGAAAAAGAUAAAAAGCAGGUAACCAAAAGCAAGCAGGGCAUGCUAAAUUUGGCAGACCUAAUCAGAUGAAUCCUCUGUUUCACAGUGCUAUUUUGUUUAUAAUCUUCUUUAUCCAGGAGAACAUUAUUUGAACUAAAAAGAACAAAGCAAGAAUGGUCUGAAAUCACAAGGGGUUCAGAAGAAUGAAACAGAUGAUCUGGAUACUUUUAGAAGGAGUAAUAAUUAUUAAUCCCAACAAAUGACAUUCUUCAGUGUCUAAGCAUUUUCUUUUGUGAUUAAAGAGCUGCCGUGAACAAACCUGGAGGAGAACGUGAUGGGUACCAGAGACCAGAAAUUUACACAUGGCUAUGUUUUCAAAGGACAGGUCAAGAUGUUCCAGCUACUUGGGAAGCUGAGACAGGAUAUCUGCUUGAGCCCAGGAGUUCGUGGCUGCAGAGAGCUGUGAUCACACCACCGCACUCCAGCCAGGGCAACAGAGUGAGACCCUGACUCCAAAAGCAAAAACAAAAGAGCAAAAACGAGAUUCCAAUGUAUACUCCCACCAAUUAAUUUGAAGGUGACCAUAUCCCUCCUAUCAAAUACUGUCACUCAUUUACAUCUUUGCCAAAUGUGGGAAAACAUAAAGUUUGGCAACCCUAUAUUGACUCCACCAUGCCUUGGGAAAGGCAGCCCGCAUCAGUGGCAGGAAAUAUUGGUGGAGCGAGCUGGGACUUGCAGGUGACCAAGAAGGGGGAUCCCGGAACCGGAAUUGUCUCCCUUGGCGUUCCGGAAGUAGAAGCAGAGUCAUUGCUGGGUGGCGCCAGCCCUCAGACUUGCCUCUUUGCAGUAGGAAGAAGGCCUCCCCACAUACCUUCCCACACUCAUCACCUUAAGCCAGACUCGGUGUCCAGUGAAUAUGACCAUCUCUUGCCCAUUUUCUAAUGAGUGUUUUCAUUAAUGAGUUAUAAGAAUGUGGUGGGUAAAUCUAUGGGCUUUGAACUAGUGAAUCAACUUGGUUUCAGAAUCUGGCACUGCUACUUACUAGUGAAUUUAAGCAAGUUAUUUCACCUUUCAGAGUGUCAGUUCCCUCAUGCAUACAAGGAAGAUAAAAAAUAAUGUAUACAAAAGUAUUGGAGUAAUUAAUACAUGGAGAACUACAUGUAAAGCGUUUAGCAUGAUGUCUGACAUAUUAAGCAUCCAAUAUUAGUUGCUUGCAGAAUUAUUAGUAAAAGAGAUUGCUUCUGAAAGCCAUUCCAAUUCUUAAAUUUUAUAAUGCCACAUUUGAGGUCACCUGAAGUACGUGUAUAACAUGUGUACAUUUUUGCGAUUUAUUUUUUCAAUUCCCAGAUUAGAGGCAUAGAGAUAUCCUAGCAAGGACUCCAAGUGUGUAGAUCUGUCAAAGAUAUGAACAUGAAAGAACAGCUUAUUUCAAUAAACCCACUUUACAUA
Long non-coding RNA from Homo sapiens (human), 7409 nucleotides. RefSeq annotates it as HPGD antisense RNA 2. The record is from RefSeq and is a predicted model, not a curated record. Lineage: Eukaryota; Metazoa; Chordata; Mammalia; Primates; Hominidae. The transcript has 6 exons.